CCUGCCUCUAGAGGCUUUGCAGGUGUGGCUGCUGUGUCACACGUAGGUCAGCAGGUGGCAGAAGAGAAGAGAGACUGUGUACACUCAGCGUUCUGACCCAUGAACCUCUCUGAAUGGUUAGUAGCCUAACAUU
This 133-nucleotide small nucleolar RNA is filed under the name Meriones unguiculatus (Mongolian gerbil). Its description in RNAcentral is "Small nucleolar RNA SNORA17 (ENSMUGG00000008983.1)". It matches the Rfam family "Small nucleolar RNA SNORA17". From Rfam's summary of the family: snoRNA ACA 17 belongs to the H/ACA family of snoRNAs and is predicted to guide pseudouridylation of the 28S rRNA at positions U4659 and U4598. It shares the same host gene together with ACA43. NB This family has a high threshold value to exclude a large number of closely related sequences that do not appear to have conserved H and ACA boxes, and may be pseudogenes. The record is from RNAcentral. Lineage: Eukaryota; Metazoa; Chordata; Mammalia; Rodentia; Muridae.